UACGUAGGGUGCAAGCGUUGUCCGGAAUUAUUGGGCGUAAAGAGCUCGUAGGCGGUUUGUUGCGUCGGCUGUGAAAUCCCGAGGCUCAACCUCGGGUCUGCAGUCGAUACGAGCAAACUAGAGUGUUGCAGGGGAGACUGGAAUUCCUGGUGUAGCGGUGAAAUGCGCAGAUAUCAGGAGGAACACCGGUGGCGAAGGCGGCGACCUGGGUUGACAUUGACGCUGAGGCGCGAAAGCGUGGGGAGCAAACAGG
This 253-nucleotide ribosomal RNA is filed under the name uncultured bacterium. Its description in RNAcentral is "partial 16S ribosomal RNA". It matches the Rfam family "Bacterial small subunit ribosomal RNA", at positions 524 to 776 of the family's 1533-position model. The record is from RNAcentral.